GAGUGAAGCGGCAACAGCUCAAAUUUGAAAGCUGGCCUUCGGGUCCGCAUUGUAAUUUGUAGAGGAUGCUUUGGGGCAGCCGCCUGUCUAAGUUCCUUGGAACAGGACGUCAUAGAGGGUGAGAAUCCCGUAUGUGACAGGACAUGGCACCCUAUGUAAAGCUCCUUCGACGAGUCGAGUUGUUUGGGAAUGCAGCUCUAAAUGGGAGGUAAAUUUCUUCUAAAGCUAAAUACCGGCGAGAGACCGAUAGCGCACAAGUAGAGUGAUCGAAAGAUGAAAAGCACUUUGGAAAGAGAGUUAAAAAGCACGUGAAAUUGUUGAAAGGGAAGCGCUUGCAAUCAGACUUGUUUUGACUGUUCGGCCGGUCUUCUGACCGGUUUACUCAGUCUGGACAGGCCAGCAUCAGUUUUGGCGGCCGGAUAAAGGCUCAGGGAAUGUGGCUCUCACUUCGGUGGGAGUGUUAUAGCCCUGGGUGUAAUACGGCCAGCCGGGACUGAGGUCCGCGCUUCGGCUAGGAUGCUGGCGUAAUGGUUGUAAGCGACCCGUCUUGAACACGGACCA
This 561-nucleotide ribosomal RNA is filed under the name Aureobasidium thailandense. RNAcentral's name for it is "partial large subunit ribosomal RNA". It matches the Rfam family "Eukaryotic large subunit ribosomal RNA", at positions 91 to 668 of the family's 3401-position model. Lineage: Eukaryota; Fungi; Ascomycota; Dothideomycetes; Dothideales; Saccotheciaceae. The record is from RNAcentral.